RNAcentral lists this ribosomal RNA (462 nucleotides) under uncultured bacterium. RNAcentral's name for it is "SSU rRNA". It matches the Rfam family "Bacterial small subunit ribosomal RNA", at positions 26 to 518 of the family's 1533-position model. The record is from RNAcentral.
AGAAUCAACGCUGGCGGCGUGCCUAACACAUGCAAGUCGCACGAGAAAGGGGACUUCGGUCCCUGAGUACAGUGGCGCACGGGUGAGUAACACGUGAAUAAUCUACCUCCGAGUGGGGAAUAACUGAGAGAAAUCUUAGCUAAUACCGCAUAACACUUACGAGUCAAAGCAGCAAUGCGCUUGGAGAGGAGUUCGCGGCAGAUUAGUUAGUUGGCGGGGUAAUGGCCCACCAAGACGAUGAUCUGUAUCCGGCCUGAGAGGGCGCACGGACACACUGGAACUGAAACACGGUCCAGACUCCUACGGGAGGCAGCAGUGGGGAAUUUUGCGCAAUGGGGGAAACCCUGACGCAGCAACGCCGCGUGGAGGAUGAAAUCCCUUGGGAUGUAAACUCCUUUCGAUCGGGAAGAUAAUGGCGGUACCGAGAGAAGAAGCCCCGGCUAACUUCGUGCCAGCAGCCGC